GCUUGAACACGAGGAGAAGAUCAUUCAGCCACAUCUUGAGAAUCUGGAAACAGUCAACUUGGGGUCUGAAGACUGCGUUCGUGAAGUGAAGAUUGGGGCACUCCUUGAAGAGUCUGUUAAGAAGGGGUUGAUUGAUGAGAAUCUGGAAACAGUCAACUUGGGGUCUGAAGACUGCGUUCGUGAAGUGAAGAUUGGGGCACUCCUUGAAGAGUCUGUUAAGAAGGGGUUGAUUGAGUUGCUACGAGAAUAUGUC
This 253-nucleotide long non-coding RNA is filed under the name Lathyrus oleraceus (garden pea). RNAcentral's name for it is "Pisum sativum (pea) long non-coding RNA (PSAT_LNC004461)". The record is from RNAcentral. Lineage: Eukaryota; Viridiplantae; Streptophyta; Magnoliopsida; Fabales; Fabaceae.